CAUGCAAGUCGAGCGAGAAAGUGACUUCGGUCGCGAGUAAAGCGGCGAACGGGUGAGUACAACGUGGAUAAUCUACCCUAGGGUCUGGGACAACCCCGAGAAAUCGGAGCUAAUACCGGAUAAGACCACAGUAUCCAAGGAUACAGUGGUAAAAGAUUUAUCGCCUUUGGAUGAGUCCACGUCCCAUCAGGUAGUUGGUAAGGUAAAAGCUUACCAAGCCUAAGACGGGUAGCCGGCCUUAGCGGGUGAACGGCCACAUGGGGACUGAGACACGGCCCUGACUCCUACGGGAGGCAGCAGUGGGGAGUAUUGGGCAAUGGGCGAAAGCCUGACCCAGCGAUGCCGCGUGAGGGAUGAAGGCCUUCGGGUUGUAAACCUCUGUCAGGAGGGACGAUGGGACACUUGUGUCUUGACGGUACCUCCAGAGGAAGCCCCGGCUAACUCCGUGCCAGCAGCCGCGGUAAUACGGAGGGGGCAAGCGUUGCUCGGAAUUACUGGGCGUAAAGGGUCCGCAGGCUGUCAGGCAAGUUGGUUGUGAAAGCUCAAGGCUUAACCUUGGAAUUGCAUCCAAAACUGCCUGACUAGAGUCCAAGAGAGGUUGGCGGAAUUCCCGGUGUAGCGGUGAAAUGCAUAGAUAUCGGGAGGAACACCAGAGGCGAAGGCGGCCAACUGGCUUGGAACUGACG
RNAcentral lists this ribosomal RNA (686 nucleotides) under uncultured bacterium. RNAcentral's name for it is "bacterial SSU rRNA". It matches the Rfam family "Bacterial small subunit ribosomal RNA", at positions 54 to 745 of the family's 1533-position model. The record is from RNAcentral.